This 97-nucleotide transfer RNA is filed under the name Candidatus Woesearchaeota archaeon. RNAcentral describes it as "tRNA-OTHER". It matches the Rfam family "tRNA". Rfam says of the family: Transfer RNA (tRNA) molecules are approximately 80 nucleotides in length. Their secondary structure includes four short double-helical elements and three loops (D, anti-codon, and T loops). Lineage: Archaea; Nanobdellati; Candidatus Woesearchaeota. The record is from RNAcentral.
GCCUUAGUAGCUCAGUGGCUAGAGCAGUUGAGUCAGCUGAAACUUGUAGCCAUUGCAAGAUAUCAACAGGUCGGGGGUUCAAAUCCCCUCUAAGGCU